UGCUCGGACCCUUUCUGUACCCUUGGCGC
RNAcentral lists this non-coding RNA (29 nucleotides) under Homo sapiens (human). The record is from RNAcentral. Lineage: Eukaryota; Metazoa; Chordata; Mammalia; Primates; Hominidae.